This is a non-coding RNA of Prunus mume (Japanese apricot), 1749 nucleotides long. Lineage: Eukaryota; Viridiplantae; Streptophyta; Magnoliopsida; Rosales; Rosaceae. The record is from RefSeq and is a predicted model, not a curated record.
CAGACUUGAAGAAACGUUCAGAAAGUUAUUACAUAUGAAGUUAUUUGUUUGGACCGAAAGAACAAGAAAUACCCUUAGAUAUGGAAGAUGAAAGGAGGUGUACCCUCUUCUAGCAAAUUACUUGGAGUUCAUCACAUUGUCGUUAUCUUCUAUAUCUGGCAUUCUUGGGUCCAUGUUGUUUCCUUGGGAUGGCGGACCUCUGAUUCACUGUGUCUUGUAUUGUGUUUUGAGCUCUUUAAUAAAAUUUUGUUUCGUAAAAAAAACUUUUUCUUUUCUUUUCAUUUUCAAGUUUUUAAUUUUCAGCAAUUCCUGAAAUUUGUUCAACCACCAUUUGAGGCACUUUUAAAACUUGAGAUAAUCCAUCUUCAUUACCAUCUGCAAGAAAGAAUCAAGUUGCUAUGUGAGGGUAUUGUUCACAGCUCUCACUAAGGCAAAUCCUAAUAUGGUUUUCUUUGUUAGAAUCAGUUAUGAUCCUUCUCCUUUAUGCCCCAUUAGGAGAUAGGCCAUAGUGGAUUGAUUUGUACCUUGAUAUUGUUGAAGAUGUUUUAGGAAGUUUUGUUUUUUGCUUCAUCCACACUGUUAUUUUUCACUCACCUUUAUUGUAGAAAAUAUUUAUUGUUUUUGUUUCUACAUUUAGAAUAAUAUCCUUUUCUUCCUGUGAUCAUUUUGUUGAGCUGAAUUGAAUGUUCUGGUGUCCAUACGAGUCAUGCAAGAGUUGCUGCUCAAAAGCUCAAAAUCCAUGUCAUAUUCACGUUUUGAAAUCAAAUGCAACAUUUCUGGACAAGGCAUCAACCUCAAGCUCUCCUCUAUUUGACCAUCAAUCGAGGCAUCACCAUCAGGGAAUUCACAUCGAACAAUUUUGCUCAAUUCAAUAAUGUGCAUCUUCCCCUUCGUUCUAGGAAGCCUUUGACCAAAAAGGAUACCGUAGCUAUUAAUGAGUGGAGAUUUUCCAAGUUAAAGGAAUACUACAAGGACAGAAACAUCAAAAUGGAAAAUGAAGCUUUUGAUUGAUACAUGCAGAAUGUGACCCUAUUAGAGGAAGUGUUUUUUGUGAAAUCUAUUUCAACCGAUAAUACCACUACUGCUACUACAGAAAAAGACACUGAGGAGGUCUCAGGGUUGAAGUUGAAGUUUAGAUCAAAUCCAAUGAGAACCAAUAACUUCAGAAAAAGGAUACGGCAAGUCGUUGAUGAGGGAUUAAAGACUUAAAAAACGUGAGUUAGAUGAUGGGGAGAAGGAACCAAGUGGGAACUGAAUUGGAUCAGGGGCCCAAAGAAGGGGAAAAAUGGCGGGCCGAAAGGGCUUCUGCUCUAGGCGAUCUCAUUGAUAUGCUGAACGAGGCCCGAAAUGUGGAGGAUCUGAAGUUGUGCUUGGAGAUGAAAUCUCAGCUCUUCAAGGAACAUAAAUUGACUAGCACAUCAGAAUCUGAAGAGAAACAGCUACAAAGAAUGAUUUGGAACCCCGGAAAGAGUCGAAUUAUUCAUUUCCCAAAGUUGUUAGCACUACCGAAAUCGAUCAAGAAACUCUCAAUAUCGUCUACACUCGCUUCUCUUCCCUUGAGCAUAUACAAGGUAGAUGAUCUAUGAUUUGAGGGAGGUGUCAUAGAUUAAUGUAGUUUCUUCCUAGAGUUUCCUUUCUAGUCAAUAAUAAAUCAAAGGAUGCUUAGAAGUUGCUCCUGAUUUGCACCGACCCUUCCAACAGGUUGGGAUUGGCCACCCCCUCAUAAUUUAACAUUUUUGACUCUGGUCA